Molecule: ribosomal RNA, 406 nt
Filed under: uncultured bacterium
Lineage: Bacteria
Description: partial 16S ribosomal RNA
Rfam family: Bacterial small subunit ribosomal RNA
Source: RNAcentral
AUUGAACGCUGGCGGCAGGCCUAACACAUGCAAGUCGAGCGAGCGGCGGACGGGUGAGUAAUGUAUGGGGAUCUGCCCGAUAGAGGGGGAUAACUACUGGAAACGGUGGCUAAUACCGCAUACUAUCGGAUGAACCCAUAUGGGAUUAGCUAGUAGGUGGGGUAAAGGCUCACCAAGGCGACGAUCUCUAGCUGGGCUGAGAGGAUGAUCAGCCACACUGGGACUGAGACACGGCCCAGACUCCUACGGGAGGCAGCAGUGGGGAAUAUUGGACAAUGGGCGAAAGCCUGAUGCAGCCAUGCCGCGUGUGUGAAGAAGGCUUUAGGGUUGUAAAGCUCUGUCAGCGGGGAGGCGGUACCCGAAGAGAAAGCAACGGCUAACUACGUGCCAGCAGCCGCGGUAAUAC